Molecule: ribosomal RNA, 442 nt
Filed under: uncultured bacterium
Lineage: Bacteria
Description: partial 16S ribosomal RNA
Rfam family: Bacterial small subunit ribosomal RNA
Source: RNAcentral
CCUACGGGGGGCUGCAGUGGGGGAUAUUGCACAAUGGGGGAAACCCUGAUGCAGCGACGCCGCGUGGGCGAAGAAGUAUUUCGGUUUGUAAAGCCCUAUCAGCAGGGAAGUAGAAAUGACGGUACCUGAGUAAGAAGCACCGGCUAAAUACGUGCCAGCAGCCGCGGUAAUACGUAGGGUGCAAGCGUUAUCCGGAUUUACUGGGUGUAAAGGGAGCGUAGACGGCAGUGCAAGUCUGGAGUGAAAGGCGGGGGCUCAACCCCCGGACUGCUCUGGAAACUGUACGGCUGGAGUGCAGGAGAGGUAAGUGGAAUUCCUAGUGUAGCGGUGAAAUGCGUAGAUAUUAGGAGGAACACCAGUGGCGAAGGCGGCUUACUGGACUGUAACUGACGUUGAGGCUCGAAAGCGUGGGGAGCAAACAGGAUUAGAUACCCCGGUAGUC